AGAGUUUGAUCCUGGCUCAGGAUGAACGCUGGCGGCGUGCCUAACACAUGCAAGUUGAGCGAUUUACUUCGGUAAAGAGCGGCGGACGGGUGAGUAACGCGUGGGUAACCUACCCUGUACACACGGAUAACAUACCGAAAGGUAUGCUAAUACGGGAUAAUAUAUUUGAGAGGCAUCUCUUAAUAUCAAAGGUGAGCCAGUACAGGAUGGACCCGCGUCUGAUUAGCUAGUUGGUAAGGUAACGGCUUACCAAGGCGACGAUCAGUAGCCGACCUGAGAGGGUGAUCGGCCACAUUGGAACUGAGACACGGUCCAAACUCCUACGGGAGGCAGCAGUGGGGAAUAUUGCACAAUGGGCGAAAGCCUGAUGCAGCAACGCCGCGUGAGUGAUGAAGGCCUUCGGGUCGUAAAACUCUGUCCUCAAGGAAGAUAAUGACGGUACUUGAGGAGGAAGCCCCGGCUAACUACGUGCCAGCAGCCGCGGUAAUACGUAGGGGGCUAGCGUUAUCCGGAUUUACUGGGCGUAAAGGGUGCGUAGGCGGUCUUUCAAGUCAGGAGUGAAAGGCUACGGCUCAACCGUAGUAAGCUCUUGAAACUGGGAGACUUGAGUGCAGGAGAGGAGAGUGGAAUUCCUAGUGUAGCGGUGAAAUGCGUAGAUAUUAGGAGGAACACCAGUUGCGAAGGCGGCUCUCUGGACUGUAACUGACGCUGAGGCACGAAAGCGUGGGGAGCAAACAGGAUUAGAUACCCUGGUAGUCCACGCUGUAAACGAUGAGUACUAGGUGUCGGGGGUUACCCCCUCGGUGCCGCAGCUAACGCAUUAAGUACUCCGCCUGGGAAGUACGCUCGCA
This 851-nucleotide ribosomal RNA is filed under the name Clostridioides difficile CD13. Its description in RNAcentral is "bacterial SSU rRNA". It matches the Rfam family "Bacterial small subunit ribosomal RNA", at positions 8 to 890 of the family's 1533-position model. Lineage: Bacteria; Bacillati; Bacillota; Clostridia; Peptostreptococcales; Peptostreptococcaceae. The record is from RNAcentral.